UACCUUACGAAUAAGAGGUUACUAACUCUGUGCCAGCAGUAGCGGUAAUACAGAGACCUCAAGCGUUAUCCGGAUUUAUUGGGCGUAAAGAGCUGGUAGGUGGUUAUAUUAGUCAGGUGUCAAAUCUUGGGGCUCAACCCCGAAACUGCACUUGAAACGGUAUAACUAGAGGGUGUGAGAGAUCUAUGGAACUCAUGGUGUAGCAGUGAAAUGCGUUGAUAUCAUGAGGAACACCAAAGGCGAAGGCAUUAGAUUGGCACAUUCCUGACACUGAGCAGCGAAAGCGUGGGUAGCGAAUGGGAUUAGAUACCCCAGUAGUCCACGCCCUAAACGAUGUAUAUUAGGCNUGGAAGUAUCGACCCUUUCAGUGUCGUAGCUAACGCGUUAAAUAUACCGCCUGGGAAGUACGGCCGCAAGGCUAAAACUCAAAGGAAUAGACGGGGAUCCGACAAUGAGGUCUU
RNAcentral lists this ribosomal RNA (461 nucleotides) under uncultured bacterium. RNAcentral's name for it is "bacterial SSU rRNA". It matches the Rfam family "Bacterial small subunit ribosomal RNA", at positions 476 to 936 of the family's 1533-position model. The record is from RNAcentral.